CUUUGGCUUUUUCUACUGUUAUUUUCACUUUCGCCAUCCAUUCACUUCACGUUCGUAUAAAUUUUCGUGUGAAAAAUCGACUUUUUAACUUUGAGCAGUUGUCUUCUUUCCAAAAGCUUUUGACGGAUAGAUUACUCCACCGUUAUGCGCAUACUCGGAACAAGUUGCAUACAUUUAGCGUACGAUAAAGCUUUUUAUAUUGCUUUCCAAAAAACAGCGUUGCAUUUGGUUGUUCAUAAGCAGCUGAUUGCGACUUCCUUCAACUCUUCCUUUUCCGGAACAAUAUAUAAUAUUUUAUAAUUUAUAAUUAUCAAAUACAGUGAAAGCUCUAUUAAACGGAUGCUCUAUUAAGCGCACAUCUGCACA
Molecule: long non-coding RNA, 366 nt
Organism: Bactrocera neohumeralis
Lineage: Eukaryota; Metazoa; Arthropoda; Insecta; Diptera; Tephritidae
Exons: 2
Source: RefSeq, a predicted model, not a curated record